Molecule: long non-coding RNA, 210 nt
Filed under: Vicia faba (fava bean)
Lineage: Eukaryota; Viridiplantae; Streptophyta; Magnoliopsida; Fabales; Fabaceae
Source: RNAcentral
AUGCAAACCCAUAGACAUAGACAAGCUGGAGAGACAGGCAUAGGACUACCAAAAGCUCACUACAAUCUACAAUCGGGGAUCCCUAAAUGCCUAUUGGAUUGGAUGACAGACAGGGACCAUAUUCGAUUUCCUCGUAUAGAACCAACCCCCAAAAAGGUCACUGGAAAUGGCUGCCUCACUGCGUGGACUCCUACCAUCGAAGCAAACUAG